CCCGCUGAACUUAAGCAUAUCAAUAAGCGGAGGAAAAGAAACUAACAAGGAUUCCCCUAGUAACUGCGAGUGAAGCGGGAAAAGCUCAAAUUUGAAAUCUGGCGGCUCCGUCGCCCGAGUUGUAUUCUGGAGAAGCGUCUUCCGCGUCGGACCGUGUACAAGUGCCUUGGAACAGGACGUCAUAGAGGGUGAGAAUCCCGUCUUUGACACGGACGCCCGAUGCUCUGUGAUGCGCUCUCGAAGAGUCGAGUUGUUUGGGAAUGCAGCUCAAAACGGGUGGUAAAUUCCAUCUAAAGCUAAAUAUUGGCGAGAGACCGAUAGCGAACAAGUACCGUGAGGGAAAGAUGAAAAGCACUUUGGAAAGAGAGUAAAACAGUACGUGAAAUUGUUGAAAGGGAAACGCUUGAAGUCAGUCGCGUCUGCCGGAACUCAGCCUUGCUUCUGCUUGGUGCACUUUCCGGCCUGACGGGCCAGCAUCGGUUUCGAGCGGCGGACAAUGGCGAGGGGAAGGUGGCAGCUCCGGCUGUGUUAUAGCCCCCCCGUCGCAAACGCCACACGGGACCGAGGAAUCCGGCGCAAGCCUGGGAUGCUGGCGUAAUGGCUUUAAACGACCCGUCUUGAAACACGG
RNAcentral lists this ribosomal RNA (628 nucleotides) under uncultured fungus. RNAcentral's name for it is "eukaryotic LSU rRNA". It matches the Rfam family "Eukaryotic large subunit ribosomal RNA", at positions 24 to 664 of the family's 3401-position model. Lineage: Eukaryota; Fungi. The record is from RNAcentral.